RNAcentral lists this long non-coding RNA (7687 nucleotides) under Arabidopsis lyrata. RNAcentral describes it as "long non-coding RNA (ALYR_LNC003352)". The record is from RNAcentral. Lineage: Eukaryota; Viridiplantae; Streptophyta; Magnoliopsida; Brassicales; Brassicaceae.
CACUGAUCCUAAUCCUCUCACUUUAACUGGGUAUAACCACACGAAUCUACUCGGUCUCAAUCUUGUGAUGGAUAAUAUUAAGGAUAUGGUGGAAUGGUUCUUUUAUAUUUGCUCACACUCACAGUGAUGUAUUUUAUGGUGUCAAAGAUUGCAGUUAGUGGUAGUAACAAGCAUUUGAUAAAUGGGAAGCUUGCACAACCUAGUCAAGUCCAGAAUCUUUUCCACUCUGUGCAGCUUAAUAAUGUCAACAAUCCACACUUUCUCAUCAUGCAAGGUAGAAUCACCAAAGUCUUAAACAUGAAACCUCCCGAGAUACUGUGGGUGCUGGAACAAGAAUGUAUGAAAACAAGAAAGAAAGAAUGUUCAACAGUAGAGGAAGAAGAAGAAGAAGAUGAGACAUGGAGGAGCGAGAUAGUAACAAGGGUGAUGAGAAUCGUGAGCAAGAGAUUGAUCUUUUUUACUCUGCUACCUUGAUGGUCUUAAGGUUCGUGUUUCCUUUGGAAGUAGUCUUUAUCAGAUGACAGCAGAGGGCAAAGUAAGUGUUGCUUCUCUUCAAACCGGCGCCUCCUUUAUAUAUUACAUUCACCUCUGCUUUUUCAUUCUCAGAUUGAUUUGUCAAAAGUUGUCGGUAAUGUAUCUUUCGUAAAAAACUGAUCCGUGUUACAAUCAAUGAUUUUGAAUUAUUCAGGUUGAUGCAGCUCUUGAUCCAAGUCACACACACAACAUAGGAAGAAGCUCAUUUCCCUCACUCGCAGGUCAAAAUAUCUAUCUCAAGCUCGGACAGUAACAAAGCCGACCAAGUGAUCGAUCGGCUUCAUACCUCAAUCGAAUCAUAUAUAAUCGAUUAAUAUACAGUAAUUCCAAAAACUAUUCAUCUAUGUGUGGCAUGCUUAAUAUUUUUGACCAUACAUAUAGAAAAAAAAAGAGAAGUAGGAAAAAAGGUCUAAAUAGAAGUAAAAAAGAGUCUAAAAUAACACCAAUAAUCUAUGGCUAAUCCUUAGAUAAUGGUAAUAUGCUUGAACUUGGAUUGGAUUUACUAAGUGCUUCCUCGAUAUCCUCAUGAUAGUCCGGACAGUGGUUGCAUGUGCAUAUGCAGUUCUUGGCUUCCGACGAAGAUCUAUGUUCCUCAAUUAAACCUAGUUUAAAAAUUAGGUAUAGAAGAGCCAAUAGGAUUAAGUAGAAUAUACCGCCGAUCACAAAAAGAGCAACCUCCAGCAAUCCCCACGCCAUUGAAGGAAAUUAUUUAAUGGGAAAAUAAAGAAACGUAAAAUCUUCCAUUAGGCUGUGUAUUAUAUAUAUAUAUAUAUAUAUAUAUAUACUCGAGGAUUCAUUGGGUCAGAGAUUAUUUAGGAUCAGGAUACCUAUGAAUAUUCCACAAGAGUCUUGGAUUAUAUUUAUAUAUAUAAAUUCGUCAUUUAUCUUUAUAAAAUAAAGUAAAAGUUUUUUUUCUCCUAAGGAUAACACAACAAAGAUAUAUACGGUAUUUUCACAUAUGUCACAAGAUAGAUUUUGUAUCCUCUUUCGUGUUUCGAUAUAUCUUCAUAACACAAUACUAAAAAAGAUUUGCAUAUUGAUGGGAUGAACUUAAAGGAUUCUCGGAGAUCGUUAUGCGUAUCGGCUUGGAGAAUCGAAGCAAGGGUGCUCGAAUGAUAUAAGAUUUAUCGAUCAAAGACAAGUCAUACGUUGUGACUAGAUGAUGAAGAAAUAUAGCCAUCCCAAGCCUAGCAAACUCUGCUCCUGCACAUAGUCUUGCACCACCACCAAACGCCAUGAACGUUUUAGAGCCACAAAGCAAUUCCUUCCCCUCCCAUCUCCAUGGAUUAAACUCACAUGGUUGUUCAUAGAUUUGAGGGUCAUAAUGAAGAAGAGAUGGAACAACCAAUACAAUCCAUCCUGCUGGAAUUGUAUACCCUGCAACCACAACACGAUUUUGAAUUAGAUCAUUGGUAACAAACUUAUAGUUAUUUUCAUGACGCAAAAGAGAGACUCAAACUUGCCUUUGAUCUCCACAUCACUCACCACCUUUCUAAACAUAGCAGGUGACAAACUCCCUAAACAAAGAGACUCAUUGAUAACCUGCAAUUGCAACAAUCAACUAAAUGUUUUCAUCACUUAAUCGAUGUGCAACGACAACAAGUUUGGAAUUUCAUUUUUUUAACAAGUAUAUAAUAAGAAAACAAAAAGCUACCAUAUGGGUGAAUUUCAUCAUGGAUCUAUAUUCUUUCCAAGUAACUCCAGAUUCUUUAUCAGCUCUGUUUUGGAGGAUGAUCUAUAGUCAUGUUCGAGUAAGACAUUUAGGACAAUUUACUAAUAUCUAAAGUUUAACUCACAUAAUAGUAAUUAAUAAUUUAGUUUCAAAAAAAAAUUUACAUGAUUUAAGAGUAUUUAGAUAGAAUUGAUAAAUUGAGAUGAGAGUUAGAACAUUAAUACAGAAAAAAUUUGUGGAUUUUUAUUUAAAAUUUAAAUAUCAGGAAAAAAAUUUAAACAAUAAGAUGGAAUAUGUAGAAUUAAAAUUAUUAGCUCUUAUCCGUUAAGAUGGAGUUUAUCGAAGAAUUAAAAUAUUUCUUAUCAUGAAAUAAAUAGUUAAAUUGUAUUAGAUAGAAUUGAUAAAUUGAGAUGAGAGUUAGAACAUUAAUACAGAAAAAAUUUGUGGAUUUUUAUUUAAAAUUUAAAUAUCAGGAAAAAAAUUUAAAAAUAAGAUGGAAUAUGUAGAAUUAAAAUUAUUAGCUCUUAUCCGUUAAGAUGGAGUUUAUCGAAGAAUUAAAAUAUUUCUUAUCAUGAAAUAAAUAGUUAAAUUGUAUUGCAAAAUAGAAUGUGUCAGAUUGAAAUUUGGUUAAAAAAUUAGAUUAAGUAUAAAUAAAUGUAUAAUACUAUUUGUAUUUCAAAUAUUAUCAAAAAAUUAUAUUUAUUUUUUCACAUCCGCCUAUUUAGGCGGGUCUUAUCUAGUUCAAUAUACAUGGAACUGGCAGGAAUAGGUUGCCACAAGUUUGGCGAGAAUUGAGUUGGAGGCUCAUAAGAGUAAAUGGAAGCAAAUUUUGUACAAAUUUAUGGUAGUUUGUUUUAUAAAACACCAUAUUUUAUACAAAUAUUGUCCUUUUGAAUAAUAUUUAGAAUUGGAAGUUAGCUCUUAAUGAAAGCUUGUUUAUGGGAGCUUGUUUGAUAGAUGAUUCGGGAUCACAUAUGGCAAUCUUAUGUGGCUUUAGCCUUUAGGUCCCCAAAGUGGUUACAUAAUUUUUUGAAUCAAUUAUGAAUUUGCCAUUUUUUGAAUAAUCUUUGUUGAGUGUGCCAUUUUUUUGAAUAGUUUGUGGAUUUGCCAUUUUUCAAGCAACAAAAAAAUGAUUUAACAGUUAACAUUAGUAUUACUCUUUAUGUUUGGGUUUAGUCUAUUCUAUUUGUUUUUAGGGUUUAGUAUUUGGUAUAAAGUAUGUAUUUUGCACAAAAAAAGUAGUAAAUACAUAUAUUUGGUAUUUGGUAUAAAGUAUAGCAUUUUCGUAAGAUUUUCUAAAAAAAAAUGUAUUUUUUCUACAAGAAUCCCUAAUUUCUUUUUUUUUUUGGGUUUAUUUGAUCUCUCUUUCAGUGAAUUGGAAGUACACCAUCUUGGACUCGCUUAUUGCAUUAGUAUCUUUCUCUGCCGGCGGAUUGAUUCCGAUGCUCUGUGGCAUGCUUGUGAAACUUCGAAUUCUAAGGAUUGUGUUUCUGGUGAUUUCCUGUGAUUUUGUAAAAAUAACUACAAAACUAAAAAAAAAUUAUUUAUGAGUUAUAAUUUUUUUUGGUUAUUACAAAAAUCACCUUUUUAUUUAUGGGAAUUUGUGUGAAUAAUCCGAAAAAUAACUAAAAAUCUAACCAAUUAACCUAAAUCUAAUGGUCAUGAUUAUGCCACAUAUGCUAAUAUCAGUUAGUUGCUUAAUUAUUAUUACUAGAUUUACUCGUCCGCGCGUUGCGUGGGAUAUCAACUUUAAACUGGCAACAAUACAAAAUGUUAAAAAUAAUUAUAAUCAUUUGAAUUUCAAAACUAUACAUAUUCAUACUUGUUUUACAAAACAGUACACAACAUAAAAAUUAUCAAAAAUAUUUAGUAUAUACCACGUAAUAACAAAAGUAAUAUCAGAUGAAUUGGUCUCGGUAGUCAUCCAUGAACUUUUGUCAAAAAGAGAGUUUAUUCCAUAAUCAAAUCUUGUAAGUAUAUCUAUCUCGAAAUUUUAACAUAAUCAUACCCCAUAAUAAAAGUAAAUUUGCUGAGUUUGAAUAUCAAUUUUAUGAAAAUGUAUAAACGUAAUAUUCAUGCUGCUUCAAUAGAUUUGGAGAGCACAAUUUACCUAUUGAAGCAAGACAAUCAUGCAUUAAGAAAUUUUUUGAUAAAAUCAUGAAUGUCCUUAUCUUAUCUUAUCUAUCCUACAACACUUUAUUACAUGGUUCAAUGAUUUAACUCAAUGUUGAAUAUGAUAGUCUGGUUUACUAAAUCAAACUAUCCGAUAGUGCAUCAAUAUAUCCGAUGAAUUUACUUAAGUCAUGUGCAUACAUAUAUCCGAUGCUUCAAGCAUUAGUCAAUUCCUCUUCAAACAUUUUUUUCUAUCAUUUUUUCGUCAUCUUCUAUGAUGCACUUGUUUGCCUCCCAACAUCUACUCUUCUUUUAUCUUAUAUGCUCAUUUACAUAUAAUAAAACUUUGAAUUCAUUCUUAACUUAAAACUAUUUUCUCAUUUUCUUCUUCUUUUAAUUAUAUAAUUUUCAUGUUUGAGUGUAAUAUACUUUUACGGAAGAUAUAUAUUUAUGAAAAUUGUCUCAACACUUAUUUAAAUUUUUACCUAUAUUUAAAUAUUUUCACUUUUUUUUAUCUAGAAAGAAAACAAUAAUAUAAAUAUAACUAUAUUAUUUUAGUUGUUAUAUAUUUACUAUAAUUUAAUAUUAAGAUACAAUCAAUCUUUCUAUUUUUUCGUCAAUGUGAAUUUAUACUUUUACUUUCUUGAAAUAUAAUUUCCAAUUUUAAAAAUGAAUUAUUUCUUAUAUCUUAAGAAAACUUAUACAAUCAUAAGUUUACUAUAACAUUUAACCAUUUAUUUUUAAUCUAAAAAUAUACUAUUUUAAAUAGAUUUCUUCCACUUCAUUAUCAUCUCUUCAAGUUAAUGUUUCCAACAAAUAUGAAUAUCUUCUUAUUAUUAAAAAAAAACUCUUAUAGUCUUCCAUUUCAAUUCAAUUCAAUUCUUUUGUUCAUCCUAAAUUAUAUUUGAGGUCUCCUUAUUAAUCUCAAAAAAUGAUAGUUUUUAAACGUUUUUUAUUUUUUUAUUUUUAAUAAGUUAUUAUUUUUUGUAAUUGUAUAAUAAAUUUCAUUAAGAAUCAUUUUGCCCUCUUAAAUAACAUUGGUAUUUCUAUGAAAUUUGCAUUAUUAUUUUCUAAUUUCUUAAUUAUAUAUUUAGGGAUUAUGUUCAUUUUAAGUUAUAUAUUAGCAAAAUUUUAAUUUUAAGUGUUUUAUAUGUAUAUAUGUUACACUUGUGUUAUUAUUAUUCAAGUAACCUUUAUUUAAAAUUAUGCAUUAAUUGAAAAUUACUUGUAUAGUAAAUUUCAUUAAGAAUCAUUUUGCCCAUAUUAAAUAACAUUGGUAUUUCUAUGACUUUUCAUUAUUAUUUUUUAUUUUUUAAUUAUAUAUUUAGGGAUUAUGUUCAUUUUAAGUUAUAUAUUAGCAAAAAUUUAAUUUUAAGUGUUUUAUAUGUAUAUAUGUUACACUUGUGUUAUUAUUAUUCAAAUAACAAAUAACCUUUAUUUUAAAUUAUGCAUUAAUUGAAAAUUACUUCUUAGAUAAUUAGAUGUAAUUAACUAUAAAAUUAAAUAUUUUAAAAUAAUUAUUGGUGGGAUCCAUCAUAUUAAUUUGGUGAUGAUGUGGACACCCUAAGAGGAGAGAGAACUCUCAUAUUAUAUAUAUAGAUUGUAUAAUAAAUUUCAUUAAGAAUCAUUUUGCCCUCUUAAAUAACAUUGGUAUUUCUAUGAAAUUUGCAUUAUUAUUUUCUAAUUUCUUAAUUAUAUAUUUAGGGAUUAUGUUCAUUUUAAGUUAUAUAUUAGCAAAAAUUUAAUUUUAAGUGUUUUAUAUGUAUAUAUGUUACACUUGUGUUAUUAUUAUUCAAGUAACCUUUAUUUAAAAUUAUGCAUUAAUUGAAAAUUACUUGUAUAGUAAAUUUCAUUAAGAAUCAUUUUGCCCAUAUUAAAUAACAUUGGUAUUUCUAUGACUUUUCAUUAUUAUUUUUUAUUUGUUAAUUAUAUAUUUAGGGAUUAUGUUCAUUUUAAGUUAUAUAUUAGCAAAAAUUUAAUUUUAAGUGUUUUAUAUGUAUAUAUGUUACACUUGUGUUAUUAUUAUUCAAAUAACAAAUAACCUUUAUUUAAAAUUAUGCAUUAAUUGAAAAUUACUUCUUAGAUAAUUAGAUGUAAUUAACUAUAAAAUUAAAUAUUUUAAAAUAAUUAUUGGUGGGAUCCAUCAUAUUAAUUUGGUGAUGAUGUGGACACCCUAAGAGGAGAGAGAACUCUCCUAUUAUAUAUAUAAAUUUUCUUGGGUUAUUAUAAAAUAACCCUUUAUAUAUUACAUAAUAUAGUUUUUUUUUGUCACCCAAUUAUAUAGCUUUUUACAUAAUAUAAUCGGGCUGAUGAUAUGUGUUAAAAUUUAAAUUUAAUUAAGAAAAAAUAAAAUAAAAAAUGGAAAACUAACUGAAUAAUUAUCAAGUAAGUAACCAAAUAAUAAAAAGGCGAACCUGAUGCCUAAUGUUGUUGUCUACACAUCUCUUCUAAACGGGUAUAUGAUCAAAUGGAUAGAAGAUCUGAAAUGUUUGCUAUAUUCAAUGAGGCUACUGCUGACAACAUAAUGUACAGUGUUAUCAUUAGUGCUUUCCUUAAAGAAGGGCUGACGACAAAAGCAUUUGUGCUUGUAAGCUAAGUAUUUCAAACAUGCCAGGGUCUACUCGCUGUUUUUUUCUAAAAUGGGAGGCAGCUGAGAAGGUUAUGGUUCGACUAAAAUACGUUCCUGAUUCUUCGAGUGUGAAUAAAUGAUCGUUGCAUUUCCUCAAACCAAAUCAUGGAAGCCGAUGCUGCUACAUAAAGAUUUAAGACGGAAAGCCAAAAGCCAAAAGCAGAUAAAUUUCUUUUUCUUUGUGGCUAACAAGGAGACUGCAUGCUGGUUUUUACUUUGGACCUGAAGAUUAUUGUAGAAAGUAAUCGUGUCAAAAGGUAACACUGAUCCUAAUCCUCUCACUUUAACUGGGUAUAACCACACGAAUCUACUCGGUCUCAAUCUUGUGAUGGAUAAUAUUAAGGAUAUGGUGGAAUGGUUCUUUUAUAUUUGCUCACACUCACAGUGAUGUAUUUUAUGGUGUCAAAGAUUGCAGUUAGUGGUAGUAACAAGCAUUUGAUAAAUGGGAAGCUUGCACAACCUAGUCAAGUCCAGAAUCUUUUCCACUCUGUGCAGCUUAAUAAUGUCAACAAUCCACACUUUCUCAUCAUGCAAGGUAGAAUCACCAAAGUCUUAAACAUGAAACCUCCCGAGAUACUGUGGGUGCUGGAACAAGAAUGUAUGAAAACAAGAAAGAAAGAAUGUUCAACAGUAGAGGAAGAAGAAGAAGAAGAUGAGACAUGGAGGAGCGAGAUAGUAACAAGGGUGAUGAGAAUCGUGAGCAAGAGAUUGAUCUUUUUUACUCUGCUACCUUGAUGGUC